Molecule: long non-coding RNA, 568 nt
Organism: Neltuma alba
Lineage: Eukaryota; Viridiplantae; Streptophyta; Magnoliopsida; Fabales; Fabaceae
Exons: 2
Source: RefSeq, a predicted model, not a curated record
AAAUGAGAGAGAGCAGCAAAAUAGACAUAUUGAAAGACAGAAUACUACAGGGAUGGAAUAAUGGUGGGUGGGGUGGUUCUCACCUACCUGGUGAUCAGUAUCCUGAUUGGUUCAUCUACAAGGGUGAAGGACAUUCUGUAAUUUUUAAGGUGCCUCAAGUCAUAGGUUGUCACUUGAAAGCGAUGCUUCUCAAUGUUGUGUAUUCUUCUUUCAUGGAUAACAGAAGCCCUCGAUUUCUCAUCAUCAAUGUUCUGAUCAUUAACUACACGAAGGCUUAUGUUAAACACUGCAAGGGAGACUCGGCAACUUUCCAUGAAGACACGGAAUGGCAAAGUAUCAUUUCAAGUGUUCAACCUGGUGAUCUGGUGGAGCUUGUUUUAUAUAUUGGGCCUCAAUUCCCUGUGAAGAAGAUUGCAGCAUACUUGAUUUAUGACAGUUCUAAGCGUCGUAGGUUAUUGACCUAAUUGUCGCAAAAACUGAUUUCGGUCUGUAAUAUAGCCUCAGUAUUUCUGAUGCAGCGGCAACUUUUAGAUAUGGAAAAUGACAAUUGCGACCUUCUUAAGCAAGA